GUCUCUGCUGGGUCAGCUGAGACAGCUCCAGGCUCUGAUCAAGCAGACGGUCAGCAAGGGAGCCCAGACCAGCACCUGUCUACUGAUCAUCCUGGGUCUCC
Molecule: long non-coding RNA, 101 nt
Organism: Etheostoma cragini (Arkansas darter)
Lineage: Eukaryota; Metazoa; Chordata; Actinopteri; Perciformes; Percidae
Exons: 3
Source: RefSeq, a predicted model, not a curated record